CCGACGGUGAGGGGUGAAGCUAGGGACACGAACAGGAUUAGAUACCCGGGUAGUCCUAGCCGUAAACGAUACUCGCUAGGUGUCGGCAACGGUGCGACCGUUGUCGGUGCCGUAGGGAAGCCGUGAAGCGAGCCACCUGGGAAGUACGGCCGCAAGGCUGAAACUUAAAGGAAUUGGCGGGGGAGCACCACAACGGGUGGAGCUUGCGGUUUAAUUGGAUUCAACGCCGGAAAUCUUACCGGGACCGACAGCAAUAUGAAGGCCAGGCUGAAGACUUUGCCGGAUUAGCUGAGAGGUGGUGCAUGGCCGUCGUCAGUUCGUACUGUGAAGCAUCCUGUUAAGUCAGGCAACGAGCGAGACCCACGCCCACAGUUGCCA
RNAcentral lists this ribosomal RNA (378 nucleotides) under uncultured archaeon. RNAcentral describes it as "bacterial SSU rRNA". It matches the Rfam family "Archaeal small subunit ribosomal RNA", at positions 691 to 1069 of the family's 1478-position model. The record is from RNAcentral.